This 497-nucleotide ribosomal RNA is filed under the name uncultured bacterium. RNAcentral describes it as "partial 16S ribosomal RNA". It matches the Rfam family "Bacterial small subunit ribosomal RNA", at positions 28 to 507 of the family's 1533-position model. The record is from RNAcentral.
GACGAACGCUGGCGGCGUGCCUAAUACAUGCAAGUCGAACGCUGAAGAGAGGAGCUUGCUCUUCUUGGAUGAGUUGCGAACGGGUGAGUAACGCGUAGGUAACCUGCCUUGUAGCGGGGGAUAACUAUUGGAAACGAUAGCUAAUACCGCAUAACAAUGGAUGACACAUGUCAUUUAUUUGAAAGGGGCAAUUGCUCCACUACAAGAUGGACCUGCGUUGUAUUAGCUAGUAGGUGAGGUAAUGGCUCACCUAGGCGACGAUACAUAGCCGACCUGAGAGGGUGAUCGGCCACCCUGGGACUGGGACACGGCCCAGACUCCUACGGGAGGCAGCAGUAGGGAAUCUUCGGCAAUGGGGGCAACCCUGACCGCGCAACGCCGCGUGAGUGAAGAAGGUUUUCGGAUCGUAAAGCUCUGUUGUAAGUCAAGAACGGGUGUGAGAGUGGAAAGUUCACACUGUGACGGUAGCUUACCAGAAAGGGACGGCUAACUACGUG